GCUACGGGGAGCAGCAGUGAGGAAUAUUGGUCAAUGGACGCAAGUCUGAACCAGCCAUGCCGCGUGCAGGAAGACGGCUCUAUGAGUUGUAAACUGCUUUUGUACGAGGGUAAACGCAGAUACGCGUAUCUGUCUGAAAGUAUCGUACGAAUAAGGAUCGGCUAACUCCGUGCCAGCAGCCGCGGUAAUACGGAGGAUGCAAGCGUUAUCCGGAUUUAUUGGGUUUAAAGGGUGAGUAGGCGGUCGGAGAAGUUAGAGGUGAAAUCCCGAGGCCUAACUUCGGACUUGCCUUUGAUACUGUUCGGCUAGAGAGUAGUUGCAGUAGGCGGAAUGCAUGGUGUAGAGGUGAAAUGCUUAGAGAUCAUACAGAACACCGAUUGCGAAGGCAGCUUACCAAGCUACUUCUGACGUUGAGGCACGAAAGCGUGGGGAGCAAACAGGAUUAGAUACCCUUGUAGUC
RNAcentral lists this ribosomal RNA (460 nucleotides) under uncultured bacterium. Its description in RNAcentral is "partial 16S ribosomal RNA". It matches the Rfam family "Bacterial small subunit ribosomal RNA", at positions 338 to 795 of the family's 1533-position model. The record is from RNAcentral.